Molecule: long non-coding RNA, 288 nt
Organism: Electrophorus electricus (electric eel)
Lineage: Eukaryota; Metazoa; Chordata; Actinopteri; Gymnotiformes; Gymnotidae
Source: Ensembl
AUAAGAACACCUGUAUGACAGUCCUUACUGACACAUUGCAGAGAGGGUCAACAAAUCUGUUUCACUCUUGAAAUCAUGGCUUACUGGUUUCUGUAUGGACUACUUUUCCUGUUAUCCUGUGAUGCUUCCUUGCAAAGAAAAAAGACACCUGUUCAGUCUCUUGCCAGAGGAUGGGGAGAUGAAAUCAGAUGGGUGCAGACAUAUGAAGAGGGACUGUCAAAAAUGGAGGAGAGGUAUCUGAGCAUUCAUAAUGAAGUGUGAUCAAAUGAAGCCUUAUUGCUGGCCUUC